GAUGAACGCUGGCGGCGUGCCUAACACAUGCAAGUCGAGCGCGAUUAAGUGGAGUGGCNACUUCGGUCNAAGUGAAACUUAUGAAAGCGGCGGACGGGUGAGUAACGCGUGGGCAACCUGCCCCAUACAGAGGGAUAGCCACUGGAAACGGUGAUUAAUACCUCAUGAGUCAGUAAGGUCGCAUGAUCUAGCUGACAAAGAUUUAUCGGUAUGGGAUGGGCCCGCGUNUGAUUAGCUAGUUGGUGAGGUAACGGCUCACCAAGGCGACGAUCAGUAGCCGACCUGAGAGGGUGAUCGGCCACACUGGAACUGAGACACGGUCCAGACUCCUACGGGAGGCAGCAGUGGGGAAUAUUGCACAAUGGGCGCAAGCCUGAUGCAGCAACGCCGCGUGAGUGAAGAAGGCCUUCGGGUCGUAAAACUCUGUCCUAUGGGAAGAAACAAAUGACGGUACCAUGGGAGGAAGCCCCGGCUAACUACGUGCCA
RNAcentral lists this ribosomal RNA (486 nucleotides) under uncultured bacterium. RNAcentral's name for it is "bacterial SSU rRNA". It matches the Rfam family "Bacterial small subunit ribosomal RNA", at positions 28 to 510 of the family's 1533-position model. The record is from RNAcentral.